AAACAUGCCCAAGGUCAUGGUAUCCCUCGCCCAAAUCCUACCUCCAGGGUCGUGGCGGGAAUCGAAUUCCAACACCCCCCAGCGUUUUAGCUCAGCGUCCUCCCGCAGAUUCCUCGGCAUGGACUCCCCAGGGACCGUUCUACAUCGUCCGGGAGAUCCUGUGCUUGAUUGGCAAGCGUUCCAUCUAUGGGAGCAAGUUGCUUAAAAAACCACAGAAUAUGUUCAUCUGACAAAAGAGCUUACGACCAUAUGUGAGAGCAUUGAGUGGCAGGUGGAUGAGUUGGAAAGAAAAUUUCAGGUGCAUCAACAGAAUCCAACAUUUGAUUGACUCGAUGAAGUUGAACUCUCUAGACCACGAAACUGAACUGUCUUUUGCUCAUAAUCAGGUACAUUUCUUCAUAUAAUCCAUCAUUCUGUUUCUUACCCCCUUCGCCUUUAUUAUAACAGCAGAACUUAUUUGAGGAUUGGCUCUGACCGAACUAUAGUACAAAUUUUCUUCAGUGUUUACCUUCUUACCAUCUCAUUGAACUACCACAUCUCUCCCUUUUUUGAAUAAAAAUAGGGUACUCUUGAGCAUGCGUGGGUAACCUAUCGUAACUGAAUAUUGUAUCACGUGAUAUUGAAAAGGAAGACUGAUGGGAGUGAUAUUUAUGCUACUAUUUUUUAUCCCUACGAUUGACAAUGUGAAAUUUAUUUAUUCAGGGUUCCCUAUCUUUGGAAAACAUACCGAGGUUGGUGCUUUCAAGAGAGCUGUUGAAAAAUGGGUUGCAUGCUUGGACUAUCAAAUCAUUUUGAAAUCUUUGGAAUCUGUUGGAGUUGCGCUUAUUUUAGAUGCUUUUGUUAGGAUUUUUUUUGGCAUUACAUGCUUUGUAUGAUUGUGUUUAUCAGGAAAGUUGCUCUGGAGCUUGCUGGAAAAUGCGACAUUGAUGAUUUUGAUUCUCAGGUACACUAUUAUACAUUCAAUCCCCUU
This is a long non-coding RNA of Lolium rigidum, 970 nucleotides long. RefSeq lists it as uncharacterized. The transcript is spliced from 3 exons. The record is from RefSeq and is a predicted model, not a curated record. NCBI's taxonomy places the organism in Eukaryota, Viridiplantae, Streptophyta, Magnoliopsida, Poales, Poaceae.